RNA transcript from Solanum tuberosum (potato), 2367 nucleotides. It is a transcript of the gene named AUGMIN subunit 3-like, with no coding region annotated. The record is from RefSeq and is a predicted model, not a curated record. The transcript is spliced from 19 exons. Lineage: Eukaryota; Viridiplantae; Streptophyta; Magnoliopsida; Solanales; Solanaceae.
UGAAAUUGAAAAAGAAAAAGGAGAGGGAAAAAGAAAACAAAUUAAAUUUGAAACAUCUCCCAAAUUAGGUCAGUGCCGGCGGCAAAAGACAUCUCCCGGCCGGCGGCCGUUUUAGCCAAUUGACAACUCCGAUCUAAACCAGCAGUGAAGUAUGAGCAGCGCGCAAUUAUGCACGUUGCUUGGGGAAUUGGGAUUCGAAGGUCACGAAUCACUUGAUCCUGAUAGUUUCGAGUGGCCUUUCCAGUACGACGACGCUCGACCUGUCCUCGAAUGGCUUUGCUCUAGCCUUCGUCCUUCCAAUGUCCUUUCCCCCUCUGAAGUCACACAGUACCAGCAUCUUUUACAUGAGGAGAAGCUGUUGGAGGGAGAAGAUCUAGACUUUGCUUAUGACAGCAUUUCAGCCUUCUCAAUGAGGAGAGAAAACCAAGAGGCAGCUUUCGGAAGCGAAGAAGGAUUGAAGGAUAUAAGAGAUGCAACUUUAGCAUUAAAAGCUGAAGAAUUAGAGUUGCAGAAACAGCUGAGACGAUUGCAGUCUCAAUAUGAUAUGCUCACUGGGCAGGCUUCUACAUUGAUUCAGGGAAAAAGGGCUCGAGUUGCAGCAACUUCUAUUCUUAAUGGACAGCAGGCUACCACAGAUGAUAGCCUUUCAGCUAGGAAUUUAGAGAUGAAUGCAGUUCUUGGAAGGAUGGCUUCUACUGCGCAAGAGUUGGCACACUAUCAUUCAGGGGAUGAAGAUGGAAUAUACCUUUCUUACUCGGACUUCCACGCAUAUCUGCUGGCGGAUGCAUCUUGUGUAAAGGAGUUAAAUCAGUGGUUUACCAAGCAUCUAGAUACAGGUCCCUACAGAUUAGUUGCAGAGGAGGGGAAGUCAAAAUGUUCAUGGGUUAGCCUCAAUGACAUAUCAAACGUUUUACUACGAGAUCUGGUAAAGUCUCACCACCCGCCUGUUUCUGAAUUGCAAUGCCUUCGCUCCAUAUUUGUUCCAAGGGAGACGCAAUGGAUAGUAGCUCAAGUUGAGAAUGCUAAGCAACAAGCUAUUCUUACUGCGUUCAAGGGUCAAGUGACAUCAGAUGAGGCUCACAUUCAUCUGGACCUUCAUUCUCUUCGGAGAAAACAUGCUGAACUAGUUGGAGAAAUCUCAAUUUUAUAUCGCAAAGAAGAGAAGUUAUUAUCCGAGACUAUUCCUGAUCUUUGUUGGGAGCUGGCUCAGCUACAAGACACAUACAUCUUGGAAGGAGACUAUGAUCUAAAGGUCAUGCGCCAAGAAUUCUACAUUAACCGGCAAAAAAGGUUCAUAAAUCAUCUAAUUAAUCAUGUUUCAAGACAUCAAUUUCUGAAAGUAGCAUGUCAGUUGGAAAAGAAGACCAUGCUUGGGGCAUUUUCAUUGCUUAAAGUUAUUGAGUCUGAGCUGCAUGGAUACCUGUCAGCAACAAAAAGCAGAGUGGGUCAAUGCAUGGCACUGAUCCAAGCUGCAUCUGAUGUUCAAGAACAAGGAGCAGUGGAUGAUCGCGACACAUUUCUUCAUGGCAUCAGAGACCUUUUAAGUUUAUAUUCAAAUAUCCAAGCUGGUCCAUCAACAUAUGUAUCGUCACCUGGCAUUGUUCAACAGAUAUCAAGCCUUCAUUCAGAUCUAAUGUCUUUGCAAUAUGACCUUGAACACACUCUUCCUCAGGAUAGAGAUCAAUGUAUAAAUAGACUGUGCACUCUUCUUCAAAGUUUGCAGCAUUUAUUGUUUGCUUCAUCAACAACUGCUCAACCAAUUUUAACACCUCAGACACUAAUGAAGCAGCUAGCAACAUUGGAAGACUACAAUAAGAACCUAUCUCGUGCCAUUGAAGACGUGAGCCGUGAGCACUUGAAGAAGAAAGAUAUUUACAAACAUCAAAAAGAAGAGAGACGAGUUUUUGUUGAUUUCUUCUGCUACCCUGAGCGCUUAUGAAACAAGUCAUGGAACUUGCUGCAAGUGUUGGAGAUUUGCAAUCUUCAUAGGCUUCUGUAGUUAUGCUGCUGAGACAUUCUGUAAUUUGAAUUGAUCAUGGAGUGGGGAGAACCACAAGGUCUCAACUUCAAAUUCCGGUGGAGACAAAAUGUUAUGCUCAAACUUGGAGGAUAUAAUUAUCCGAUACCUCUAUGUUGGUGUGCAAAGCUGGUCCGGAUACCAAUGUUCUAAAGAAAAGAUGUUGCAUUUUGGUUUGCAAACCUGAAAAAUGUAUAGUGUUUAUCCGUGCUGGUGCUCAUAAGAACCUGAUCCGACAUUUUAUUAAUGCCUUAACGAUUUUUUUUCUUAUUAACUCGAAUUGAAGUUUGAAUUUAUUGAAAUAUCAAAAAUAUAGAACUAGAAGUGGAUUAUAGCUCAAAAUAACUGAG